This 115-nucleotide ribosomal RNA is filed under the name Mesocricetus auratus (golden hamster). The record is from RNAcentral. Lineage: Eukaryota; Metazoa; Chordata; Mammalia; Rodentia; Cricetidae.
AUCUAUGAUCAUUCCACUCUGAAUGUAUCCAAUUUUGUCUCAUCUUGGAAGCUAAGUAGAGUAGGGCCUGGUUGGUACUUGGAUGAGAGAAAUGGAAAGAUGACCAUCCAUGCUA